Molecule: ribosomal RNA, 942 nt
Filed under: Triticum aestivum (bread wheat)
Lineage: Eukaryota; Viridiplantae; Streptophyta; Magnoliopsida; Poales; Poaceae
Description: partial small subunit ribosomal RNA
Source: RNAcentral
AUGGCAUGCCCUCCUUGCCCGCCGUCGCCGCUCGCCAGGGUGCGGCUCGACGACGUGGCGCCACACGACGGCGCGGCCGCCCCGGGCUACGCGCGCGCCGUCGGCGCCCUCGCCGCCUCGCUCGCCCGCCGCGGCGCCGCCGUGCUCGAGCUCCCCGCCGACGACGCGGCCGUCAUCCGCUGCGCCCUCGAAUCCGCCCGCGCCUUCUUCCGCGGCCGCCACGCCGCCUACCUCUACCGCGCCGGGAGGACUUUGGAAGAUGGAGAGUUGUCGCCUGCUUGCAUGGCUGAUGCUUUCAGAUGUUUGGGCAAAGCAGCCCGGGCCGCCCUCUGUGCAAUAGCACGGCACCUGCGCCUACGUACCGACGUAUUCAACCAAUUACUUGAUGAUACUCCACUGCCGGUUAACGAGGUCUCCUCAUCAGAGUUGCUGGUGGCAUAUUCUCAUGAACAGCCCCAAAGUGGUCACUCACUCAUGGGAUGUCCCAGCAGGUCCUCAAUGCCUCAAGUUGAUAGGGGAUUUGUGACGCUAGUUGCUUCCGAUUGUCCAGGAAUUGAGGUUUGUGACCCAAAUGGCCAUUGGUACCUAGCUGAUGGGGUUUCAGGCCCAAAUAAUCUAUUGCUUCUGACUGGAAGGGCCCUAAGUCAUGUUACUGCUGGUCUUUGCCCAAUUUCCCACUACAGGGUCACUAAUGAGAAUAGGGCAUCACUCACCUUUAGGUUGGUGCCUCAUGCCAACGCUAUAUUGGAUUGCUCUCCAAUUUUAGCUGCUGGGCAUUGCAUACGACAGGUGUACCAACCCAUACCUGCAAGCCAAUUUAUGGAUGAUUCUUAUGCUGAAGAGCACGCUGUUUCCAGUCACUUGGAAGAACCUUUUGAAUCUCAGGGCAACUUUGUUAGCGACCCAUCACUCAGAAGUGUCCUGUCAGACCCUCUGUCGUAA